This 258-nucleotide ribosomal RNA is filed under the name Ceriporiopsis resinascens var. pseudogilvescens. RNAcentral describes it as "partial small subunit ribosomal RNA". It matches the Rfam family "Bacterial small subunit ribosomal RNA", at positions 677 to 941 of the family's 1533-position model. Lineage: Eukaryota; Fungi; Basidiomycota; Agaricomycetes; Polyporales; Meruliaceae. The record is from RNAcentral.
AGGGGCGAUAUCGGAGACCCCAAGUGGAGUACCAAUGGCGUAAGACUUUAUCCAUUAAUGAUUGACGUCGAGAAACGAAGGUGAGGAUAGGAAAUAGGAUUAGAUACCCAGUAACCCCUCUCUGUCAACGAUGAAUGGUAUUUGUUAGUCUAAACGACUAGUGACGAAGUUAACACGUUAACCAUUUCGCCUUGUGAGUACGACUGCAAAGUUGAAAACAAAAAAAUUAGUCGGUCUCGGAGCAAACGAAGUGAAGCA